CAAGGUGGGCCCGAAAAGGGCGAGCCCCUGCGGUGGCGCCCUUGCUUCCGAUCCGGGAGCCCGCGGGAUGAUUUGAUGCGGAUGGAGAGUCGGGUGCAGUUUCUUCCCGUCGCUGCCUGAGCAGCGCCAGUCACGCUCCCCAGCCUUUGAAUUUGGCGGCUGGAACUCCGGACGCCAUGGAGGAGGGCGCGUCCCGCAUCCGCCGGCGGGUGUCUGCCCGCAAGAGGACCCGGCCGGGUUUGGCGAGCGCGUGUGCUGCCCCCGCCGAGGGCGAGCGCGCGCCGGGGAAGGACGACGAGGGGGCGCGGGGCCGGCGGCGAAAGAUCGCGCAGCCGUCAGAGCAUUAUGACAGCGAAGAGGACAUGUUUGGUGACUAUGAUAGCUUCACUGAAAAUUCCAUGUUAGCCCAAGUUGAGGACCUGAAACAGAAGUAUAUGCAACUUUCUGAACAGGGAAGACAUACUGCAGACUUUGCUGCUGAAGAUCUUUGCUCAGAGAACAUCAAAAACAAACUGAGUGUUAUUCAUGUAAGUGACUUUACUGAAUAUGGAAAUGAUGAGCAGACGGAGAACCAGACUGGGUGCGGUGAUGGUGCUGCUGAACCUGGAGAUGGUUCUUUCUGUGAUGUGCCGUCUUCCCAGGUUUUAUAUUUCGAAAACCUGAAGAACUCUUCAGGUCAUUUGCACUGCCAGUCCACUAAGGAAAGGGAUGGCAGCUCAUCCUCAUGCAAGACUGGGAAUGAAGAAUUACAGCACCAGCCGCAGCAUGAAUUGUCUUCUGAAGUCCAAACUGGUUCAGACACAAAUAGGAGAAAAAGUAUUAAAGAUUUUCUAAAAAGUGCCAUGACUGGAAAUGCCAAGGCCCAAGCACCAGUAUUUUCUCGGAAUAAACAGCUCAAAGAGGCUGUCCUCUCUGAAGAGAUUAAUGUUGCUAAGGAGACAAUUGCAUCAUCAUCCAAUGACCUUGGUCCCUUCUAUUCAUUACCCAGCAAAGUGAGAGACCUUUAUGUUCAGUUCAAAGGAAUUAAAAACUUAUAUGAAUGGCAACAUACCUGCUUAACACUGAGUUGUGUGCAAGAACGAAAAAAUUUAAUUUAUUCCUUGCCAACAAGUGGUGGGAAAACCCUUGUAGCUGAGAUCUUAAUGCUUCAGGAAUUGCUUUGCCAGCGGAAAGAUGUUUUAAUGAUCCUUCCAUAUGUGGCACUUGUGCAAGAAAAGAUUUCAGGUUUGUCCAGUUUUGGUAUAGAACUGGGCUUCUUUGUUGAGGAGUACGCAGGAAGCAAAGGAAGAUUUCCUCCAGUGAAAAGGAGGGAGAAGAAAUCACUGUACGUCGCCACCAUUGAGAAGGCACACGGCCUGGUGAACUCCUUGAUUGAGACCGGAAGGAUUGGUAGUCUGGGCCUGGUCGUCGUAGACGAGUUGCACAUGAUUGGUGAAGGGAGCCGUGGUGCCAUACUGGAAAUGACCCUAGCAAAAGUCCUCUACACAAGCAAAACAACUCAAAUUAUUGGUAUGAGCGCGACAUUAAACAACGUCCAGGAUCUGCAGACGUUCCUGCAGGCAGAGUACUACAGCAGUCAGUUUAGACCAGUUGAGUUAAAAGAAUAUCUGAAGAUAAAUGACACAAUAUAUGAAGUUGACCGCAAAGCUGAAAGCAGUAUCACUGUCUCACGCCUCCUUCCCCAUCAGUAUUCUGAUUCCUUAAAAAAGAUGGAUCCUGAUCAUUUGGUGGCAUUGGUGACAGAAGUUAUACCCAAUUAUUCCUGCUUAAUUUUUUGUCCCAGUAAGAAGAACUGUGAAAAUGUAGCAGAAAUGUUAUGCAAAUUUUUAAACAAGGAGUACCUGAAGCACAGGGAGCAGGAGAAAUGUGAGCUGCUGAAGAACCUGAGGGACAGCAGCGGGGGCCACCUGUGUCCUGUCCUGAAGCGCACCGUGCCCUUCGGCGCCGCCUACCACCACAGCGGCCUGACCGGCGAGGAGCGGAAGCUGCUGGAGGGCGCCUACUCAGCUGGCGUCCUCUGCCUGCUGGCCUGCACGUCCACGCUGGCGGCCGGGGUCAACCUGCCUGCGCGCAGAGUUAUUUUAAGAGCUCCCUACGUUGCUAAAGAAUUUUUAAAGAAGAGUCAAUAUAAACAGAUGAUUGGCAGAGCUGGCCGUGCUGGAAUAGAUACCGUUGGGGAAAGUAUACUUAUAUUACAAGAAAAAGACAAGCAAAAGGUCUUGGAGCUAAUAAGCAGACCACCAGAAAACUGUUACAGCCAUCUUGUUCAGCAAUUCACCAAGGGAAUCCAAGCUUUGUUUCUCUCUUUGAUUGGCCUAAAGAUUGCAACAAAUCUUGGUGACAUAUAUAACUUCAUGAAUGGUACACUCUUUGGUGUUCAGCAAAAGAUUUUAUUGAAAGAAAAAAGUCUCUGGGAAGUAACUGUUGAAUCACUUAGAUACCUGACAGAAAAGGGGCUCCUACAAAAAAAACAUGUUUCGGAGUCUGGAGAAGAGUUGCAGUGUAAUUUUCAUAUUACCAAAUUGGGGCAAGCUUCUUUUAAGGGAACUAUAGAUCUGGCUUACUGUGACACUCUCUACAGAGACCUGAAGAAGGGUCUGGAAGGUCUGGUGCUGGAAAACCUCCUGCACCUGAUCUACCUGACGACUCCCUACGACCUGGUUUCUCAGUGUGACCCCAAUUGGAUGAUAUACUUUAGACAGAUUGGUCAGCUCAGUCCCGCUGAGCAGCGUGUGGCCACGCUCCUGGGGGUCUCUGAGAGCUACGUGGCCAAGAAGGCGGCAGGCCAGGCCACCAGGAAGAAAGUGGACAAGGAUGUUGUCAACAGACUCUACCUCUCUUUCAUCCUCUAUGCCUUGCUCAAAGAGACCAAUGUUUGGGGCGUGUCUGAAAAAUUUAAUAUUCCUCGAGGGUCUGUACAAAAUCUCCUCAUGAGCGCUGCCUCCUUCUCGUCCUGUGUGUUGCAUUUCUGCGAGGAGCUUGAGGAGUUUUGGGUUUACAGAGCCCUUCUGGUGGAGCUCACCAAGAAGCUGACCUACUGCGUCAAGGCGGAGCUGAUCCCGCUUAUGGAAGUCACCGGAGUCUUAGAGGGUCGAGCGAAACAGUUGUACAGUGCAGGGUAUAGAAGCCUGACACACUUGGCCAAUGCUGAUCCGGAAGUGCUGAUAAGAACCAUUGAUCAUUGUUCACGGCGCCAAGCCAAACAAAUUGUUUCAUCUGCAAAGCACGGUGCAUGGCUUACAGAAUGUGUUCCAUAAAUAGGAGCAGAGAUGAAUGAACGCUGUCUACUGAAAUGGUUUGUGCAGGGGCGGUCCAUAAAGAGCCAGGCCCUGAAGUCUGCCCAUGUAUUAUGAAGGGUAUAAAUGACACUUCAGGCGUGCUGGGCAAGGUCAGCAGAGCAGGUGUGGCUGGGCGGGCACCUGGGGUCCCUCAGGGCAGCCAGUGCUCCUUUGUCACAGACGCAUCUCCCGCUUGGGUCCUCAACCUCUCUUCCACUCUGCAUGCAGCUUAAAAGAGUACUUGGGAGCACCUCGCGGUCAUACCAUUAGGUGAGGCCAGUCAGAUACACACAGCGUAAGCACGUGGCCUCUCUUCUGUGAGAGCUUAGCCUGAAAGGUGACCAUAGGAAGCAGGAGACAGACCCUUCUGAGGUGGGAAGGUGACUGAGAUGGGUGGGGACCAGGAAGGGAAGGAGAGGAGGGAAGAAUUGGGAAGCGCUCAGUGCAUGUGCGCCUGCACACAGGCCCUAAAUGGCAGGCGCUGUGAAGGGUGGACUUGGCAUAUGAUUAAAGCAGAGGGUAAGGGUGGCCCUGCGGGGCUCUGAGUAGGGCAGUGGUUAAAGGUUGCAAGUAGGGGACCACAAAUGGAAAAAAGGAAGCCUGUUGUGAUUACAUUAAAGCUGUGUGCAGUGGGGACAGGAAUGCCACGUCUUGUCCUUUUACCAAUACUGACUCUGAUCGUUUGGUUAGAGUAAGCAAAUUUCAUCUGCUCAGCGUCUCCACUGUAAAAUCACUCCUCUCCUCUUGGUAAUUAGUAUUUGGGGAGUAGAUGUUUUUGAGAUGAUGGAUAUUGAGUUCUUUAUUAAACCUUCAUACAUGCAUGUAGCAUUUUCUAGUGAGUUUUGUAUAACUCAGUUAUUUCUUUUCUUAUCUUUUUUUCUUUUCUUUUUGGUCUUUCUGAGACACUGUCUCACUGUGCAGUUCAGGCUGGCCUUGAGCUCACUUUGUGGCCCAGGCUGGUCUCAAACUCACAACAAUCCUCCUGUCUCAGCUCCUGAGUGCUGAAAUUACAGAUGCUGCUGCAGGAGAAGGCAGAAGCUCUGCAGGAAGAAGUAGAGGAGCUGCUGAGGGUGCCCACCGAUGUCCCCAGGGCUGCAGCCUCUCCAGCCCAGAGGCCCGAAGCAACGUGAAGAACAGUUUUAAGUUCAACGACUGUAUUUAUUACAUGAAAGAGUCCCUGCCCUCUGUAAAUGAGAAAAUUAUUUUAAUUAUAUGCCAAGAACUAUG
RNA transcript from Cavia porcellus (domestic guinea pig), 4505 nucleotides. It is a transcript of the gene named helicase, POLQ like, with no coding region annotated. The transcript is spliced from 19 exons. The record is from RefSeq and is a predicted model, not a curated record. NCBI's taxonomy places the organism in Eukaryota, Metazoa, Chordata, Mammalia, Rodentia, Caviidae.